Molecule: long non-coding RNA, 895 nt
Filed under: Pongo abelii (Sumatran orangutan)
Lineage: Eukaryota; Metazoa; Chordata; Mammalia; Primates; Hominidae
Description: lincRNA
Source: RNAcentral
GUGAUCGAUUCCCAGUGCCAUCCUGAACCACAAGAUUGGAAUAUCGCACCUUUCAACUGCCUGGGCUGAUAAACAAUACAGCAUGUACUCAGCUUCAUAAACACUCUGCCUUGUUACAAAGGGCAUUGCAAACUCGCCGUGAUAGGACUUGACCUUAAAAGCUAUAGACAAUCUAGUGGAGCACAGACGGUUUCAUAAAGUACAAUCACUUCCUGGAAUUCUUGGGCCAGUGCAGUCGGAGCCGUGCAAAUCCUGUUUUCCUUGCAUUGUUUCCUGCAUGUGAAUAUCAUCAGUCUAGCAGUCUCGCUCUGUCGCCAGGCUGGAGUGCAGUGGGGCAAUCUCGGCUCAUUGCAGCCUCUGUCUCCCGGGUUCAAGCGAUUCUCCUGCUUCAGCCUCCCGAGUAGCUGGGACUAUAGGUGCAUGCCACCACGAGCAGUUAAUUUUUGUCUUUUUAGUAGAGACGAGGUUUCACCAUGUUGGCCAGGCUGGUCUCGAUCUCUUGACCUCAUGAUCUGCUGGCCUCGGCCUUCCAAAGUGCUGGGAUUACAGCUGUGUGCCACCGUGCCAGGCCCAUCUAACUUUUUAAUAUAGAUUGUAUGAUGUUUUCAUAAAACAAGUAGGGCUCAGAAAGGCCGUAUAAAGCCACACAGCCAGCAAGCAGCAGAGUCUGCAUUUUAAUCCAGAUGUUCAUGGCUUCAAAGCAAUGUUAUUUAACUCUAACAAUGCAAUUGAACUAACAAUUGACAUCAGACACAAAUAUUCUAAAGAACCUGGAGAAAUAGAAAAGAAUUGGAUAGAACUGAUGGCUCAUAGGCAGAAGCUGUGCAUCAGGAAGAGGAAAUAAAUGGCAUUGUUCAGCCAUGAAGCUGUAUAAUUUCAACCUGACUUUCCUUCU